GGCGGUCCUUCUCCGUUAAAUAUCCCAGAAUUCUUUGCACCGGUCACAUGUGUUCAUUGCUUCUUGCACAGAGAUCACACGAUCGGUUGGAGACAGCAUGAGCGGACGCAGUAUGGGCGUUGAUUGUCCAUCAGAACCCCCUGACUGAAGAAACUACAGUUUCUACGAUGUAUUACCUAAAAAGGCUCAUGGUUUGGUCCUGAGGCUACAGUUAUGCUGAAGAAUCCUUCUCUAACUGCUACUUUCUAAUGGUGGUGAAUGUAAGAACUACAGUCAUUAGAUUCCAUUGAGGGCUUCAUUUUGGGGCACAUGUAUUCGGUGACUGGUUGCUGCUUCCUCGGCAGUGAUUCAACUUGAGUGGAGCUAAUUUUCUUGCCAUGUUUGAAGUACAUCUGAAAUGAGUGGCGUUUGUUGUAAACUGUGUUUGCAUUGUAUAAAAAUUGUAUGCAUUGUUACAAUAAAGAGCGAUGCUUGUAUAUUUUCUGUUCUUAA
This is a long non-coding RNA of Onychostoma macrolepis, 492 nucleotides long. RefSeq lists it as uncharacterized. The transcript is spliced from 5 exons. NCBI's taxonomy places the organism in Eukaryota, Metazoa, Chordata, Actinopteri, Cypriniformes, Cyprinidae. The record is from RefSeq and is a predicted model, not a curated record.